This 466-nucleotide ribosomal RNA is filed under the name uncultured bacterium. RNAcentral describes it as "bacterial SSU rRNA". It matches the Rfam family "Bacterial small subunit ribosomal RNA", at positions 28 to 524 of the family's 1533-position model. The record is from RNAcentral.
GACGAACGCUGGCGGCAUGCCUAACACAUGCAAGUCUAGGGGUAGCAAUACCACUGGCGCACGGGUGAGUAACACGUAGGUUAUCUGCCCCCAUCACAGACAUAACCCCGGGAAACCGGGGCUAAUAUCUGAUGAGGUCGCGAGAUCAAAGCUUCGGCGGAUGGGGAUGAGCCUGCGGCUGAUUAGCUAGUUGGUGAGGUAAUGGCUCACCAAGGCGACGAUCAGUAGCUGGUCUGAGAGGACGAACAGCCACACUGGAACUGAGACACGGUCCAGACUCCUACGGGAGGCAGCAGUGAGGAAUAUUGGUCAAUGGGAGCAAUCCUGAACCAGCAAUGCCGCGUGUGGGAUGACAGGGCUUCGCCUUGUAAACCACUGUCGGGCGGGACGAAAGGAGGCCUCGGGCCUCUGGGACGGUACCGUCAAAGGAAGGGUCGGCUAACUACGUGCCAGCAGCCGCGGUAAU